GGAAUCAUGCAUCUGAAGGGUGGCUGCAGUGUUUGGCAUAAGAGAUUUCACUCUCAUAGUGCACUACAUUCCAAACUUCUCAAGACGAUUUGCAAGCAAUUACAGAGCAAAUGUCUUCAAUGUGAAUAAGCCUGAACAAACAACUAAGAUUUCAUGGUGGAUUUAAAAGCAUUGUGAGCCCAAUCCAGUAGGCACUAAGCAGUUCUCACCACUAUUGGCUCAGGCAGAGGUGCUCUGCACCUUGCAGGGAACAUCAACGCUCUGUGAAUCAGGCCCUGGGUGAGUCAGUAUCAAAUUUUUUACGAGACAAAAAACUCCACAGGCAAGGUGAAAACUGCUAUAAUAGGAAUUUAACUGCUUGUAGCAAUGCAAAAGUAAGGGCUAGCUGCAAAUAACAUUUACUGCUAAAGGAACAAUGUUUUAAAAAACGACUCUCUUUAGAUUAAUGAAACAGAUGAGCAAAGUAUUUUUAAAGCAAAGUGCCAUUAAGGGCCUGAAACAAUGGAACUAAGUCUUAGGAAAAUGAUAUUUAACAUUUUGCUGUUAAAGCCAACAGGGAAACUGGAAUUGUGGAAUACAUCUCUUGAAAGGAGAAGGGAGCUCUCAACCAGGAGUACUAAUAUAUUGCCCACCCAGCACCCUCACAGAUACUGGCCGUCCAGCUGUCCUGCUGCCUGAUUCAUGCUGCCAAGCUUGGUACAAUGAUGAAGAGAAGGGACUAUCACUUUGGCUCCAGGGAAAGUGGGGAAAACAUGCAUUUCUGCCUACCUCUUCUCAGCAAUUUUUCUUCACAUCCAUGGCCAUCGGAUGAACUCCACACACCCCACAUUGAACACUUCUCCCAUCACGGCUGCCCGCUACAGUGAGAUGCUCUGUAUGAGGUCCUACAUUGGUAGCAUCACUCAGCUCAACAGGAGCUCCUUUACAGCUCCUUUACAGACCUCACCUGCUGAAAAGAGAAAGUGAUUGAAAUGUACAGGCAGGGGAAACUUUCCAAGAACAUCUUAUAAAAAUGAUUUUUCACAGGAAGAUAAAGUUUUCUGUUGCAAAAUUCCAUUAUUUGUAUAUGAGGAGUAGAAUCAGAAAGCAAGGAUGACCAUGCAGCAGCAGUGUGAAAGAUCAGUCUCCUCUGGGAGUUUAUUUAGUAGAAAGAAAAUAAACAUCACCAAGGACCAACUGUGUGUUAAAUC
RNAcentral lists this long non-coding RNA (1190 nucleotides) under Coturnix japonica (Japanese quail). RNAcentral's name for it is "lncRNA (ENSCJPG00005003493.1)". The record is from RNAcentral. Lineage: Eukaryota; Metazoa; Chordata; Aves; Galliformes; Phasianidae.